RNAcentral lists this ribosomal RNA (466 nucleotides) under uncultured bacterium. RNAcentral's name for it is "partial 16S ribosomal RNA". It matches the Rfam family "Bacterial small subunit ribosomal RNA", at positions 28 to 507 of the family's 1533-position model. The record is from RNAcentral.
GAUGAACGCUGGCGGCGUGCUUAACACAUGCAAGUCGAACGGAAAGGCCCAAGCUUGCUUGGGUACUCGAGUGGCGAACGGGUGAGUAACACGUGGGUGAUCUGCCCUGCACUUCGGGAUAAGCCUGGGAAACUGGGUCUAAUACCGGAUAGGACCACAUUUUGGAUGGUGUGGUGGAAAGUUUUUCGGUGUGGGAUGAGCUCGCGGCCUAUCAGCUUGUUGGUGGGGUAAUGGCCUGCCAAGGCGUCGACGGGUAGCCGGCCUGAGAGGGUGUACGGCCACAUUGGGACUGAGAUACGGCCCAGACUCCUACGGGAGGCAGCAGUGGGGAAUAUUGCACAAUGGGCGCAAGCCUGAUGCAGCGACGCCGCGUGGGGGAGGACGGCCUUCGGGUUGUAAACUCCUUUCGCUAGGGACGAAGCGUUAUGUGACGGUACCUGGAGAAGAAGCACCGGCUAACUACGUG